This 30-nucleotide non-coding RNA is filed under the name Homo sapiens (human). Lineage: Eukaryota; Metazoa; Chordata; Mammalia; Primates; Hominidae. The record is from RNAcentral.
UGAGCCCAGGAAGGUGAUAGACAGGAUGAC